Molecule: ribosomal RNA, 702 nt
Filed under: Triticum aestivum (bread wheat)
Lineage: Eukaryota; Viridiplantae; Streptophyta; Magnoliopsida; Poales; Poaceae
Description: partial small subunit ribosomal RNA
Source: RNAcentral
AUGGACUCCCCGGGCACCGCCGGCCCUUCGUCCUCCUCCGCGGGCGACGCGCAGCAGCCGGUGGCGCUGGCGGUGGCGCCCCCGCAGCCGCCGCCGCCGCAGCAGCAGCUGAGCAGGUACGAGUCGCAGAAGCGGCGGGACUGGAACACGUUCCUGCAGUACCUGCGCAACCACCGCCCCCCGCUGACGCUGGCGCGGUGCAGCGGCGCGCACGUCAUCGAGUUCCUCAAGUACCUCGACCAGUUCGGCAAGACCAAGGUGCACGCGUCCGGCUGCGCGCACUACGGCCAGCCCAGCCCGCCCGCGCCCUGCCCCUGCCCGCUCCGCCAGGCCUGGGGCUCCCUCGACGCGCUCAUCGGCCGCCUCCGCGCCGCCUACGAGGAGAGCGGCCACGCGCCCGAGUCCAACCCCUUCGCCGCGCGCGCCGUGCGGAUCUACCUCCGCGAGGUCCGCGACGGCCAGGCCAAGGCCAGGGGCAUACCCUACGAGAAGAAGAAGCGCAAGCGCACGCCGGCGCUCCCUGCCGGCGCUGCCGGGGAGGGGACGAGCUCGUCGUCGGCCGCCGCGGCUGUCCCGGGCCGCGGCGAAGGAGGAGAGCAAAGUGGCAGCGGCACCGCGGCGGCUUCACCGCUGCCGUCGCCCACCGGCGCCCAGGCGGAAGGGAGUAGCGUCACCGCUGCACCAAGCACCUCUCGAGUAUAG